This is a long non-coding RNA of Fukomys damarensis (Damara mole-rat), 5938 nucleotides long. RefSeq lists it as uncharacterized. The record is from RefSeq and is a predicted model, not a curated record. The transcript has 3 exons. Lineage: Eukaryota; Metazoa; Chordata; Mammalia; Rodentia; Bathyergidae.
UGCCCUGCUUUUGCUCCUAGUUCUGUCUUUUAGUUUUAUUUCUCAGGCCUGCAUCACACCGGGCAGGGAACUGGAUGGAACCUAACUGCAGGGGUCUCUUAAACAUUAACAUUAACAUUAACAGGGCUCUUGUUCAUAUUCUGUUACCUGCAGCCACUGUAUUAAUUCCAGUUUACUGCAAGAAAUCUUUGUUAUUUCCAAACCUUUCAAGAUAGAUGUGAAUGACGCCCAGGUUACAGGCUUGGACGGGGUACAAAACUUGGCUCUUCUGCGAUCUGAUAAGUUAUGGAGCCGGAACAGGAUUCUCAUGUGUGCCGAUCCUGUGGCUGGAUCUGUCUUCACUCCUCCCUUCCCCAGCGAGCCGGGAAGUAGGGUCUCCAGCUCUUCGGUUAAGAAGCUGCCGGGAAGAGGUGCGAUGAAAAAUAAUAGUGACUGCUGCUUGCAAGAGCCAUCCCACAGAAAGACAGCUCGUAAAACUUCUACCUCACUCACUGGAUCUGGCACCAGGUGGCACCUGACUCUUCCCCAGAGUCAAACAAACAUGUAAGUUCAAUGCUUUGAAUCGAUUCGGGACAUCCAGGCAGCCAGGACAGCACAACUAAAGACAGGAAGGAGAGGACUACAGAGCAGCUGCAGAAAGUGGCGAGGACGAUGGGACGGGAGAGUUCAAAGCCAGGGAGAGGAUCCGAGGUACUGGGGCCUGAAGAGCUCUGAUAUUCCUCAGCUGUUGCCUGACAGGUGCUUGCCGGUUUAUACCUGGAGUGGGCAUGAACUCCAAGGCGGUGCGUGGAUUACUCCUAAAGAUGGGGCCUCCACGGGUCCCUGCACAUCUCUGAUGUCAGUUGUUGAGGUCUUCUGCGCUGCUCGUGUCCCCUCUGAAGUCUCUCCAGCCCCCGCCUAGAGUUUUAGGUCUGGCUGUCCUAUGCUUGGAGCCAGUUUGGGAAGGUUGAGAAGUGGGCUAGAUCCCAGCUUUCCAACGCAUAAACAUUUAUUUAUCCCCUGAUUUCAGCAUGCACAGCCUCUCCUAAACUAGUUCAGAUUGCGGCCUGGGCCUCUCUGGGUAACAGAAUCAUGAGCUCCAUUCUGAUACUGAACCUCGCGUUUCCUGGCUUCUGUCAAAGCUACAGCAUCUCUCAUGGAGUGGGAAAGCAACUGCUCAGCCUGUUUCUCCACACCUCAGUUGUAACUGCCACCAGCCACUCAGGCUGCCAUGAGGCAGCUGCCACAGUCCCCUGCUGCCCUUCCUCCAAUGCGCUCUGCAUUGUGCUCAGAGCUGAGAUGCCCUGUAGCCGUGGGACAGGCUGACAGCAUGCUGCUUUGUCUGACUUCAUGGCUGCUGACCACCAGCAAGAAAAGUGGUGGCAGGGUCUCUUGCCCUGGGUGGAACCAGCCUGCCCAGGUCCCCUGCUGGGGCCACCGCUCCCUCUUCUUCCCACUGGCUCUGUUUGCUUCCCUGCCACCUUCUGCCCCCACGAGUGCCUGGGGCGUCACGAACACUUUAUACCCACGACACCCGCCUCCCUUUGCUUUAUAAGCGACCACGAAAGACCUGGGUGGAAUCAUGAAUUUGCCUUUGCCGGAUUUCAGCCUUUGAGUCUUUAUCGAUUCAUCUGAAGAAAGACUUUCCUGCAAGAGGAUUAAUGAAAGCCACAGAUUAUUUAAGAAUUUUAAAAUAAGGAAGAAGGGACGAGGCGGGCCGUAUUCUUCACUGGCUAUGUAGAGGGAUGGAAGCCAGUGGGAGCUUCACACCGACACAGGAUUCUGAGGUUUGACGGAAGCCGGGAAAAGGGAAGAUCAGCAUCAGAGUGAGCAAGCCUUUACCGCUGACAGAACACACUGGAAAGCUCCGGAAGGAAACGGCAAAAACUAUCCCGAGUUAUAAGUAUUCUGAAGGCCAAGUCUCACGGGAAAGCUUAUGCAAUUUACUGGCUUCUCUGCCAGGUCCCAUUUCCCGGGGAGGCGAUCACUGAGGAAUACAGAGUUCUACGGAAAUAAAUCUGCCUCUCCCCAGAGAAAUGCUCCUAGAAACUUAUUUACAUUUGCCCUUUAAAGCGUGCCGUGGGAGAGACUUUCGGAAGGCGCGGUUCCGGUAACUGACUUUCGUUAGAACCCAGACGUAUUACAUUCCAGCUGCAGCUGCUUCUUCCAGAGCACAGAACACUGAAAGCCAUAUAGCUCUCCGUGAGGGGACAGAAGCACCCUCAGGAUCACCCUGUAUUCAACAAGCGCUUUACAGCGUUUAAAUUGCCAACUGUGGCAAACCAGAAUAGGCCAAUUACAUUCUAGGCAGGAGAAGCAAUACAGAUUCAGAUGCAAAUGAAAUAAAGCCAUACAGAUCUAGCUUCACGUGAAUCACCGUAUGACUCACGUACACAUGGUGUGCCGGAAAGUGUCCAGCAUGGCCAGGUCUGACUCAUCGCAGGGACUGGUGCUGGUGGCCUGCUUCUGUGGACCCGCUGAGAGAGACUGGGAUCUGGUCCAGCUCUCUCUUCCCUUGCUCAACCACAGUAGAAAGGAACACCGGCUGUGGGAAGCUCUCAGUCCACCCACAGGGGACAGUGCAAGAGCUGUGCCCUGACCGUGUGUGUGUCCCAUUGCAGACUUUGACAGAGCAAGCAUUCACCAGACUUUCGUUCUGUGCCAGAGUCUACACCACGCUGAUACUUAGCCAUCGGGAAGAUGACUGCUGCGGUCUAGAGAGGUAGUCCUUCAUUUGUGGCCUGUGCGCUGUGUACCUCUCACCUGAUCUUCUCAGCACCGAGGGGAUUGUACCGAUUUCUCAACUUCCCUGGGACGCGAGCGGCUGUGGAGGUGCAGCAGUUUCCCAGCAGUUUCUGCAGAGAGCCGGUCACCAGGCUGGGGCUGGAGUGGCCCGGUGGUUGCUACUCUGAGCCACCUCCCAAGAAGCUGCUACAGCCUAAAGGAAUUUUUAAUACAUGAACUUUGGAGGACAAGGAGAGAUGACAUCAAGAGCAAAUGGCAGCUGCAAGGUGGAGGCUUGUUUGGCAAGGGAGACCUUGCCACUGACCCUCUGAGAUGCCCGGCCCGGCCUUGCUGAAUUUCAGAGGCUGCUCUCUCUGUGGGCCUGAGCUGCCGUGGGAGGAGCCCACCAGGACAGGAAUGCUGUGUUCGAACCAAUCCCAGCUCCUCUCCAUGGGAGCCCUGAGACUUUGCCAUCCCAAGUCCUGUACCACUGGGAGCCGCUCGGGAACCCUAUGACCCAGCUCCCCAUGGGUGGGUUUUGUCCACAGCGUGUGUCCCUGUACUCUUGGCCAUCCCUGCAGAUCCCAGGGAGCACCCAAACUUGGGUCACAUUCGCUGUCCUUGGACAGAGAGACCUGGGUGCCUGGGAGCUGAGUCAGAGCGAGGUCAGCACCAGGCAGGUGGUCAGCAAGCCGCGGGCGAGUGCACAGUGCUCUGUGGAUGCCUGCCUUCUCCGGAAGGGCACACUGGCUUUUCUUUUUCCUCCGCUGGAGACAGCAGUGUUUACCUAACAAAGAUUACUUUGUGCCAAAGCCAGCAGCGUAGGCUUUUCUCAUUUGCCACCCAAAAGUAGCCUAAGACACUGGAGAUUAUUAAAGCCCAGCCAGUGGUCCACCCUUGGACACACAGUGAGGUUAACGGAGGAGAUGACGCAGUGGAGGCCACCAGCCUAGGCCCCUCGGAAUGCUCCACUCAUCCUCGGACCCCCUUCUGUCCCCUGUCCUCUCUGGACUGCGGUCCUACAGCUUCAGGAUCUCGUGGUCCUCUGCCUGUCUUAUUUACAUCCCUAACACAAUUUCCAGGCUUGAGGUACAGAACACAGGAUGAAAAGCCAGGGAGAUUUAUUCCAUUCCCUAGUCCUGGAGAUCGGGGGCAGUUUAUAUAAAUUCUUGCUGUUGCUGAACAAUUUAAUAUACCAUUGUCUAGGCAACAGAAUUUCCCUCAAUUAGAUUUUAAGCGAGUAUGGGAGGGAGCUUUCCCCUUGCUCUCCAGCAACAUUAGGUAUUUGUAGGAACUUCGAGCCAGAUUCCCCGGCAGCCCUGUUAUCCCUUGGCUUCUGCAGAGGGUGUAAGACUGUGGGUGGGAAGAGCCCAGGGGCACAGGGCGGGUGCUGCAGAGGCCCCUGGCAGAGGAUGGGCUUCGGAGCCUGAGUGGCCGAGGCACUGGUCCUCAGCCUUGGCAGCCCUGAGAGUCCAUCCUGUCAGAAGUUACUGGAUUCUUGGCAGGCACAUGCAGGGAGCGGCCUACAGCAAAAGGAGACACAAAAGAGCUUGGUGCAGGCAGCCUGAGGGGCUCCUGGGCCGGCCAAGCACAUUUUCUCCCUGAGGUGCAGCUCCGCAGGGAGCCAGCGUAAACGUGGACUUGGGGAGAAGCCCCGGGCUGAGGGUGGGUGCUGCCUCUGCUGCUUCCUGCUGCUCUGUGGUCACCUGAGGAGCCUCUCUGCCAAGGGCCGAUGUCACCAUAGGCCCGGGCCUCUGUGUGCCUUUGAGCUCCAGCAUGAGCAGAGCCUGAGGCGUCACUCUCAGCACAGCCCCGGUCCCCUCUUGGCCACACUCUUGGAAAUGACUGCAACUGCAGCUGGGCGUGGGGUGAGGCUGCCUCUGAUGGGGAUGUGGUGACCAGACAGGAGGUGGCCUGUUCCGUGAGGAGAGGUGACGCUGGGCACCGUUUACAGAGUGCUGCCUAGGCCUUGGGGUCAUCAGCCCCUUUAAACCCACAAGGAGACAGCUAAUAGAUUUCCCAGCGGACGAACGGCAGGUUUGGUAAAUUGACUCCUUUUGUUGAGUUAGUUCUAAUAGACCACUUUGCAUCCAUCUUUACGAUAGCACUUGGACACGCGAUGUCCUUGCUCCUGCUUCCUAGAGCUGCCAUGGGAGCCUGUGGUGAGGAGCAGGGAGGAGAGGGACAGAAAGGAUGCCGUGCAUUCUUCAGCAGCUCUCACAUACACCUGUCAGCCGCGUUUCCUUGCGCCUGUGUGAGUCUUCCUGGAAGGAACGUGUUCUCACAAGUGUGUUUUUCCGCCACCCUCGUGCCUCCCUCUCUGCUCCAUCCUCCAGCUGUAGGAACAGAGAUCAGGGACGACACGGUCGGAUAUCCCGUUGCUGAGAAACUUGACCGAGGUAACAGUGACAAGUGUUAGAACACAAUGUUUAGACAAUCUGUCUGACACUGAGUUGGGGUCGUUGUGCUGCUCGGCAGGACAAAGGCACAGGAGGGAGGAGAGACUGUGCCACAGGAUGGCUCCCGGUGCACCAGAGAACUGCACUCAAACUCCAAGAUCUACACAGGCCAGGAAGGAGGGAGAACAGCCACAGAGUAAAGGAAUUAGAACAGUCUCAUUUCAUGUCCUCUAAGAGAGCCCACAGUGCAAAGUGCAAGACCAUGAGGACGGUGGGGACCUGGGCACCGGCAAACUGAGGAGGGAGUUUCCGUCAAUGCUGCAGACCCUGUCAGUUUUUACAAAGGGAUGUUCUGCCUGUGACGCCCAGUAUCCCAAGCAGUGGGCCUCACUGAACCACAUGGUUACCGGACAUGGUCCGCGACUUGCAGCCCUGAGAGUUGUUUGGCGUGGAGCUUUCCUGUGUCCUGCACCGGGGAAUGGGUGCCAGUGGGUUGGGUGUGGUGAGGAGGGGAUCGGGAGUUCUGAUGACCGGGAGGAUUAGAUGGAGAGGUCAAGAAAUAACUUUGAGGUGUAGACGAAUAACACUGGACCACUACAAAGCAAUCGAUUCCGGAUGGAUCGCUCAGCACCUACAGUGAAUGAAGAGCAGACUUCGGAACCUGAAAAUCUGUCACCGGAUUAAUCCCAGCUCCUUUGCUUACCUGCUGUGCAACCCCAAGCAAGUCAACUUUCCCCUUGGUGCCUCGCUUCCUUCAGCCUGAAUGUCUGUGUGAUUUCAGUGCAACAAAAUAUUAAAGGCAAGAUAAGUAACAGAUGGGAGGUUCUCAAGAAGCU